GGGGGGGGGGGGGGGGGGGGGGGGGGGGGGGGGGGGGGGGGGGGGUGGGGGGUUGGGGGUGGGGUUGGGGGGGGGGGGGGUGAGUAACGGGUAAAGGAGUUGGAGCACAGCUAGGGACGACGUUUGGAGACGGAUGCUAAUACCUAAUAUUAUGAUAAUAGGGCAUCCUAUGAUUAUGACAGCUAGAAGCGCUGUGAGAGAGCUUUGCGUGCGCUUAGCUAGUUGGAGAGGUACCGGCUCACCAAGGCGAUGAUGGGUAGCCGGCCUGAGAGGGUGAUCGGCCACAAGGGGACUGAGACACGGCCCUUACUCCUACGGGAGGCAGCAGUGGGGAAUAUUGGACAAUGGACCGAGAGUCUGAUCCAGCAAUUCUGUGUACACGAUGAAGUUUUUCGGAAUGUAAAGUGCUUUCAGUUGGGAAGAAACAAAUGACGGUACCAACAGAAGAAGUGACGGCUAAAUACGUG
RNAcentral lists this ribosomal RNA (467 nucleotides) under uncultured bacterium. RNAcentral describes it as "partial 16S ribosomal RNA". It matches the Rfam family "Bacterial small subunit ribosomal RNA", at positions 39 to 507 of the family's 1533-position model. The record is from RNAcentral.